RNAcentral lists this ribosomal RNA (479 nucleotides) under uncultured bacterium. Its description in RNAcentral is "partial 16S ribosomal RNA". It matches the Rfam family "Bacterial small subunit ribosomal RNA", at positions 28 to 507 of the family's 1533-position model. The record is from RNAcentral.
GACGAACGCUGGCGGCGCGCUUAACACAUGCAAGUCGAGCGAUGAAAUUUCGACAGAUCCCUUCGGGGUGAAGAUGUAAUGGAUUAGCGGCGGACGGGUGAGUAACACGUGAGUAACCUGCCUUUGACAUUGGGAUAGCCUCGGGAAACUGGGAUUAAUACCAAAUGACACUAACUGAUCACAUGAUCAAUUAGUCAAAGAAAUUCGGUCAAAGAUGGACUCGCGGCUGAUUAGCUAGUUGGUGAGGUAACGGCCCACCAAGGCGACGAUCAGUAGCCGGCCUGAGAGGGUGAUCGGCCACAGUGGAACUGAGACACGGUCCAAACUCCUACGGGAGGCAGCAGUGGGGAAUAUUGCACAAUGGGGGAAACCCUGAUGCAGCGACGCCGCGUGAGCGAAGAAGGCCUUCGGGUCGUAAAGCUCUUUUAUGAGGGAAGAUAAUGACGGUACCUCAAGAAAAAGCCCCGGCUAACUACGUG